CUAGUACGAUAACUCUGAAAAUAGAAGAAGGAAGUUUUGGAACUCAGAAGUUGUUUUUACUGUUUUAAACUGGUGAUGAGGGACCUUGGGAGAGGCUUCAGGGAGGAAGGCUGAAUGGACAACUGUGGGGCUGCCAGGCUUAGAGUUUCCCUGCCGAGUAUGAGGCCCUCAGGGAUCCAGGGACACAGGAUAUGGUCCUGACUUCGUAUAAAUGCCACCUCCCAACCUCAGAUGGCACUGAUACAGGUGUGUGAUGGCCUGUCCUUUUUCUUCUCUGCAGGUACUUGUGUCCUAUACAACCUUCAUGCGGACAAUAGAACUUGUGUGUAGCAAAGAAGUGGCUCUCUUGUGGGCCACAGGAUCCAGCUCUGUCUGAGGGGACACCUUGUGCUCUGACCCUCUAGCACUGACCAUGUCCAUGCCCACUGAGGGCACCCCACCACCCCUAAGUGGUACCCCCAUCCCAGUUCCAGCUUACUUCCGACAUGCAGAACCUGGUUUCUCCCUCAAAAGGCCUGGGGGCCUCAGCCGGAGCCUUCCACCUCGGCCCCCUGCCAAGGGCAGCAUCCCUGUCAGCCGUCUAUUCCCCCCUCGGACCCCCGGCUGGCAGCAGCCCCAGCCCCGGAGGGUGUCUUUCCUGUGCGAGACCUCAGAGACGUUGCAGAGCCCUGGGUACGACCCGAGCCGGCCAGAGUCCUUCUUUCAGCAGAAUUUCCAGAGGCUCAGCCGACUGGGUCAUGGCUCCUAUGGAGAAGUCUUCAAGGUAAAUGAAGGGUGGUUUCCCAGGCUUCUCCAGGGAGCCUCUGCCGUGGGGUCCCCUCCCCCAUCGGUGGGAUAGUGUCCUAGGCAUCCUGCUGCCCUUUUUCUCUGACAGCCUGCCUCUCUAGGGCUAACAGCCACUUCCCCAUCCCAAGAUUAAGUGCCUCCGAGAGCCGCCUCGUGCACACUGGCCUUGUGUCCAGGCCCUAGCACAGCGCACAGCAGGUCUCCGCUCUGCCUAGAGAUGGCUGUGCUGGGCUCCAUGACUGGUCUGUCU
RNAcentral lists this long non-coding RNA (1036 nucleotides) under Rattus norvegicus (Norway rat). RNAcentral describes it as "long non-coding RNA NONRATT004058". Lineage: Eukaryota; Metazoa; Chordata; Mammalia; Rodentia; Muridae. The record is from RNAcentral.